Molecule: ribosomal RNA, 474 nt
Filed under: uncultured bacterium
Lineage: Bacteria
Description: partial 16S ribosomal RNA
Rfam family: Bacterial small subunit ribosomal RNA
Source: RNAcentral
GCCCAGACUCCUACGGGAGGCAGCAGUGGGGAAUAUUGCGCAAUGGGCGAAAGCCUGACGCAGCGACGCCGCGUGAGGGAUGAAGGUCUUCGGAUCGUAAACCUCUGUCAGCAGGGAAGAACGGUCACUGUGCUAAUCGGCAGUGAAAUGACGGUACCUGACUAAGAAGCCCCGGCUAACUACGUGCCAGCAGCCGCGGUAAUACGUAGGGGGCAAGCGUUAUCCGGAUUCACUGGGCGUAAAGGGAGCGCAGGCGGCACGGCAAGUCUGGUGUGAAAGCCCGGGGCCCAACCCCGGGACUGCAUUGGAAACUGCCGGGCUGGAGUGCCGGAGGGGUAAGCGGAAUUCCUGGUGUAGCGGUGAAAUGCGCAGAUAUCAGGAAGAACACCGGUGGCGUAGGCGGCGUACUGGACGGCAACUGACGCUGAGGCUCGAAAGCGUGGGGAGCAAACAGGAUUAGAUACCCCGGUAACA